This 253-nucleotide ribosomal RNA is filed under the name uncultured bacterium. RNAcentral describes it as "partial 16S ribosomal RNA". It matches the Rfam family "Bacterial small subunit ribosomal RNA", at positions 524 to 776 of the family's 1533-position model. The record is from RNAcentral.
UACGGGGGGGGCAAGCGUUGUUCGGAAUUACUGGGCGUAAAGGGCGCGUAGGCGGUUCGCUAAGUCGGAUGUGAAAACUCUGGGCUCAACCCAGAGCCUGCAUCCGAAACUGGCGGGCUAGAGUUCUGGAGGGGGUAGCGGAAUUCCUGGUGUAGCGGUGAAAUGCGUAGAUAUCGGGAGGAACAUCAGUGGCGAAGGCGGCUACCUGGCCCAAUACUGACACUCAGGUGCGACAGCGUGGGGAGCAAACAGG